UACGUAGGGGGCAAGCGUUGUCCGGAUUUAUUGGGCGUAAAGAGCGUGUAGGCGGCUUCACAGGUCUGCUGUGAAAACUCGAGGCUCAACCUCGAGCUGUCGGUGGAAACCGUGGGGCUAGAGUCCGGAAGAGGAGAGUGGAAUUCCCGGUGUAGCGGUGAAAUGCGCAGAUAUCGGGAAGAACACCCGUGGCGAAGGCGGCUCUCUGGGACGGUACUGACGCUGAGGAGCGAAAGCGUGGGGAGCGAACAGG
Molecule: ribosomal RNA, 253 nt
Filed under: uncultured bacterium
Lineage: Bacteria
Description: partial 16S ribosomal RNA
Rfam family: Bacterial small subunit ribosomal RNA
Source: RNAcentral